RNAcentral lists this ribosomal RNA (460 nucleotides) under uncultured bacterium. RNAcentral's name for it is "partial 16S ribosomal RNA". It matches the Rfam family "Bacterial small subunit ribosomal RNA", at positions 338 to 795 of the family's 1533-position model. The record is from RNAcentral.
CCUACGGGUGGCAGCAGUGAGGAAUAUUGGUCAAUGGACGAGAGUCUGAACCAGCCAAGUAGCGUGAAGGAUGACUGCCCUAUGGGUUGUAAACUUCUUUUAUAAAGGAAUAAAACGAGGCACGUGUGCCUUUUUGCAUGUACUUUAUGAAUAAGGAUCGGCUAACUCCGUGCCAGCAGCCGCGGUAAUACGGAGGAUCCGAGCGUUAUCCGGAUUUAUUGGGUUUAAAGGGAGCGUAGACGGGUUGUUAAGUCAGUUGUGAAAUUUUGCGGCUCAACCGUAAAAUUGCAAUUGAUACUGGCAGUCUUGAGUACAGUUGAGGUAUGCGGAAUGCGUGGUGUAGCGGUGAAAUGCUUAGAUAUCACGAAGAACCCCGAUUGCGAAGGCAGCUUACUAGAGUGUGACUGACAUUGAUGCUCGAAAGUGUGGGUAUCAAACAGGAUUAGAUACCCUUGUAGUC